RNAcentral lists this ribosomal RNA (551 nucleotides) under uncultured bacterium. Its description in RNAcentral is "bacterial SSU rRNA". It matches the Rfam family "Bacterial small subunit ribosomal RNA", at positions 355 to 896 of the family's 1533-position model. The record is from RNAcentral.
UAGGGAAUNUUCGGCAAUGGACGGAAGUCUGACCGAGCAACGCCGCGUGAGUGAAGAAGGUUUUCGGAUCGUAAAGCUCUGUUGUAAGAGAAGAACGAGUGUGAGAGUGGAAAGUUCACACUGUGACGGUAUCUUACCAGAAAGGGACGGCUAACUACGUGCCAGCAGCCGCGGUAAUACGUAGGUCCCGAGCGUUGUCCGGAUUUUAUUGGGCGUAAAGCGAGCGCAGGCGGUUAGAUAAGUCUGAAGUUAAAGGCUGUGGCUUAACCAUAGUACGCUUUGGAAACUGUUUAACUUGAGUGCAAGAGGGGAGAGUGGAAUUCCAUGUGUAGCGGUGAGAUGCGUAGAUAUAUGGAGGAACACCGGUGGCGAAAGCGGCUCUCUGGCUUGUAACUGACGCUGAGGCUCGAAAGCGUGGGGAGCAAACAGGAUUAGAUACCCUGGUAGUCCACGCCGUAAACGAUGAGUGCUAGGUGUUAGACCCUUUCCGGGGUUUAGUGCCGCAGCUAACGCAUUAAGCACUCCGCCUGGGGAGUACGACCGCAAGGUUG